AUGGGUGUCCUCGGCAGGGUCCAUGGAGGUGACACGAGGAUACUCCCAUAUGUGAAGAGAGAUGUUUCGAAUGAACGUGCAAAGCUCCGGAGAGGGCUAACAUUCCGAGACAUGGAUAUGACAGUCGAGUACUUUGAGAGGAGGAAAGAUGAGAAUCCAGAGUUUUUCUAUGCGAAACAAAAGGAUCCUGCAACAAACUCCGUGACUGCCUUGUUUUGGGUUGAUGGGAGAACAAGGGCGCUCUACCCGAAAUAUAAAGAUUGUGUGUUCUUCGAUACAACCUUCUGCACCAAUAGAUACAAUAUGCCAUUUUCUCCUAUAGUUGGGGUCAACAACCAUCUCCAGACCAUUGCACUCGGGUGUGCCUUGUUGCCGGAUGAAAGUAUUGAAACAUUUAAGUGA
RNAcentral lists this ribosomal RNA (402 nucleotides) under Triticum aestivum (bread wheat). RNAcentral describes it as "partial small subunit ribosomal RNA". The record is from RNAcentral. Lineage: Eukaryota; Viridiplantae; Streptophyta; Magnoliopsida; Poales; Poaceae.